Non-coding RNA from Picea glauca (white spruce), 46 nucleotides. The record is from Rfam. NCBI's taxonomy places the organism in Eukaryota, Viridiplantae, Streptophyta, Pinopsida, Pinales, Pinaceae.
GCAAUGGUGUCUUUAGACACCACCACUUCUCUCGAAUCCAUUCUUU